GAUGAACGCUAGCUACAGGCUUAACACAUGCAAGUCGAGGGGCAGCAUCGCGAUAGCUUGCUAUUGCGGAUGGCGACCGGCGCACGGGUGAGUAACGCGUAUCCAACCUUCCCGCAACUGGGGAAUAACCUUGCGAAAGUAAGACUAAUACCCCAUGGUCUCCACGGAUGGCAUCUGAAAUGGAGUAAAGGUUUCGGCCGGUUGCGGAUGGGGAUGCGUCCGAUUAGCUUGACGGCGGGGUAACGGCCCACCGUGGCAUCGAUCGGUAGGGGUUCUGAGAGGAAGGUCCCCCCACAUUGGAACUGAGACACGGUCCAAACUCCUACGGGAGGCAGCAGUGGGGAAUAUUGCACAAUGGGGGAAACCCUGAUGCAGCGACGCCGCGUGAGCGAAGAAGUAUUUCGGUAUGUAAAGCUCUAUCAGCAGGGAAGAUAAUGACGGUACCUGACUAAGAAGCACCGGCUAAAUACGUG
Molecule: ribosomal RNA, 473 nt
Filed under: uncultured bacterium
Lineage: Bacteria
Description: bacterial SSU rRNA
Rfam family: Bacterial small subunit ribosomal RNA
Source: RNAcentral